CCCUUCCAGAUUCCUUACCCCUCCGAUCUAAAUAUUGAUCUGAGUGGUUAAAAGAGGAGGAAAGGUAAAACUAAACUUUUACCUUUAAUAACAUACAAGU
Molecule: small nucleolar RNA, 100 nt
Filed under: Echinops telfairi (small Madagascar hedgehog)
Lineage: Eukaryota; Metazoa; Chordata; Mammalia; Afrosoricida; Tenrecidae
Description: Small nucleolar RNA SNORA61 (ENSETEG00000025394.1)
Source: RNAcentral